This is a non-coding RNA of Schistosoma margrebowiei, 45 nucleotides long. The record is from Rfam. NCBI's taxonomy places the organism in Eukaryota, Metazoa, Platyhelminthes, Trematoda, Strigeidida, Schistosomatidae.
AUCCAGCUGACGAGUCCCAAAUAAGAUGAAACGCGUGUCUCAGGU